GUAUAUUGUCAAGAAAUGAAAGUCUAACUUCCUAACAUGUUUCACAUAUUGAAUAUCCCGCAAAGGAAGGAUACUGCUCGCUUGAAAUAUUAGUACUCAUACAGGAUGAUGCGAUAACAGAGCUAUUAAUUAGCGAGCAGGCAGGAAGUUGUCGGCCACUUGUGUGACACUUACUUGCUCGUGCUCGUGCUCGCGCUAAGAGAGUCUCCUUUUUAUCAUCUUGCAUCAUUUUGUAUAAUUUACGUCACCUAGCCUUCUUGUCA
RNAcentral lists this long non-coding RNA (263 nucleotides) under Nicotiana benthamiana. RNAcentral describes it as "long non-coding RNA (NBEN_LNC030382)". The record is from RNAcentral. Lineage: Eukaryota; Viridiplantae; Streptophyta; Magnoliopsida; Solanales; Solanaceae.